This is a long non-coding RNA of Seriola aureovittata, 2625 nucleotides long. RefSeq lists it as uncharacterized. The transcript is spliced from 4 exons. Lineage: Eukaryota; Metazoa; Chordata; Actinopteri; Carangiformes; Carangidae. The record is from RefSeq and is a predicted model, not a curated record.
ACGCGCUGACCCAGUGCCAGGUCGUAAUCUUUCAUAAAAUUGGAGUUCACGUGUAAAAUCACUGAUAUACACCGACAGAGUGUCUGUGACUGAGGGAGCGGUGUUAAGAUGAUUCACUGUACUGUGCUUCUUUGUACUUCUUGUGCGGUUUUAAUGCAGUAGGCCUACCCCUUUUACGUUUGUUUAUUUCGAUGUUUAAUUUUCUGCCGUUAUUAUUAUCCAUUCUAUUAUUUUUUUUUACGUUUCCAAGCUUCUUAUUUUAUGGAUGGACUGUGUGAUUUUGUUGUUUCCUCAACAUUUAGACAUUUCAAUAUCACAUUUAAAAGUUUAUAUAGAAAAAGUACAUGGUGUCUUUUAAUGAAUACAGGCCAAGUGAUUACUGAUCAUUUUACUAACUGAAAACUUUUAGCAUAAUUGUUAAAAUAUUGCUCCCUCACUCAGUAUCUGUGGCCCAUAUGCUUCUAUUUAUGUGUUUGGUGGAAGCCCAAGUGAAAGUAACUCUUACAUAACUCUUAUAUAAACCAAGAGUUUAUUUGUGUUGUGUUCAGGGCUCUGUUUGCAAACAUAAUUGUUCCACAGGUAAUGUGUUCACUGUCCACAGCAUAAGAGACGGUUUGAUGUUCCUGCUGUUCCAUUAGUAGUGUAUCUCUUCCUUUUUGAGAUUCCUGCUCUUAUCUCUCCCCUCGCAGAAAAUGUCAUCAGCCUCCUCAAAUGAAUCCACAACCCACUGUAUCUCUGUAUGUGGACCCUCUUAUCUAUACAACUGAACAAAGACCACCUUAUCAUCCCUCAAAAAGAGUCUGCCUUCGGUGUGAUGAGGUAAUGAGUGUCUUUAAGGUGUGGCAUGUUGUCAUGACAGCACAGUCGGGGCCUGACGCUACCUGCGGGCUGCAUGCCUCAACAGAGUGAAGAUACUGUCACACCUUUGAGAUUGUAACAGCCAGGGUAAUGACACAUUUAACUGAUGACGACAUUAUUUUAACGCAUUCAUCUCACUGUAAGAAGUUAUCUAAACAAUCAAGACUUCACAGGCCGCCAGUGAAGUCAAUAAAAACUUCUGUCAUGUGUGCAUAUGUGUUUAAUGUUUUUUUUAUUUUUUUUAUUAUUAUUAUUUGUUGAAGUUGUUGUGCAUUUCACACUAAAGUGACACUAUACAUCCACAGGGGAAUCAGGUCAGGGCAGGGUUUGGAUUGUGCAAAAGGAAGGCGGGGGCAAAGCUGCAAUUUCAUUAAAGUGGCAUCACGGGUAGAUUUAUCUUUAAGCGAGGUGUGUUAAACAGAUGCUCAAGCUGUGGUCCAAAUGUUCCAAAUGAGUCUGUUGGUCUAAAAAAGAAAGGAAAUCCUCAUAGAAGGGCCUGGCCAUGAAUAACAGGGAAUGAGAGUGUAAUACCUUUAUGACCGUGAAAUUGAUUUCUUUUUUUUUUUCACAAUUACUUCUUUAGAAAGGUUUAUAGACACAGUACCGUCACAACAAACCUGCAUUAAGAUAAUUUCCUCACACUCUUCAGUGCAGUUCACCUGGAUGUAGGUGAACCUAUUUCAGGCUCAUUCCCUGCACCCAAAACAAUUGAGAAAAAACAAGACAGGCUGAGUGAAAUGAGUGUGUGUAUGAACGAUGUGUACGCGUGUGUCUUAGUCUGUGUGAGGCAGCUUCUAGUUACAAUCUAAAUCUUACACAUGGGAAACCUGAGGACUGUUUGGGGCAUCUUUUUACCAGCAGUCUCUGUGGGGUUUCAGCCAGUACCUGUUGAAACUCCAUCUCUGCAGGUUUAAUAUUUAAAGACUGUUGAGAGUUUGGUUCCCCUUAGAGAUCAGGAUCGACGUGUCCUCGCGCUCCUGGUCAGCACAGCAGCACCCAAACCUCCCUGAAACGCACUGAAGGGAUCUGAUCUGCUCCGAGACCAGAUUUUGGACGGAUCAACAGAGCCAACGCAAGAAGAGCAGUGACAGCCAAAACACACUUGUAUACACAAUGUAUGUGAACUCUUCUGGAGCUGAGAAUGGAUCCUAUUCACUGACCUUCCUGGGAAAGAGAGUAGGGAGACAUCACUCUGUGGCUCCUGCAGGCAAGCAACGCGCCUGGGAGACCACUGACAGGUCUGGCUGCACUGAGGACUCUCUGGUGUCCUCGCGGCCCGCACGGGUCCCGGUGGCAGCACAGGUGCUGGAGGAUUUACCAGGCAGCGUACCGGAGCUGAAGGAUGAGAGGCCAUGUCCAAUAAUGCACAACAGACAGUUUGACAGCACAGCAGGUGUUUCUGGGAGGAAGGUAACAGCAUGACGGCACGCCCACAUUCCUGUAUGAGGAAACAAAGAGGGGAGAGGGUGGGCUGGGGACGGGUGUGGGACAGAGAGUUGUAAAAUAUUCAAGGGAAAUGUGUCCGUAUUUUAGACAUACCUGGCCACAGUGAUGGAUUAACUUGAAAAUGAAAAUAAACAGGGACUAACUAUUGCUGUCUUCUCAUUUCAUAUAAACUCAUAAAUAACUGAAUUACUGACAGUACCUACAUUUUGAAUGUAUUUUCAGAAAUAAACAUGUAAAUAGACAUUAAACUGGCUGCUAAUCAUAAUGGUGAGGAUGUAAUACCUGUUUAAAAUCUAUUAAAUAAAAUGUUAAACUGUUUUA